This 378-nucleotide unclassified non-coding RNA is filed under the name uncultured fungus. RNAcentral describes it as "sequence contains ITS1". The stretch from base 1 to 106 matches the Rfam family "5.8S ribosomal RNA", at positions 50 to 154 of the family's 154-position model. Lineage: Eukaryota; Fungi. The record is from RNAcentral.
GAAAUGCGAUACGUAAUGCGAAUUGCAGAAUUCAGUGAAUCAUCAAAUCUUUGAACGCAAAUUGCGCUUUCUGGAUAGGCCAGAGAGCAUGCCUCUUUGAGCAUCGUUUCUACCUCACCUCGGCAGCUUGCUGCUGGAUAAUGAGUUUCUCAUUCGAAAGUUUGAGUCACUUUAAGGAGCGUGAGUUUCCUAAACUCCUAGUGCCUGCCUCUCACGAGGCGCCUCUCGUAGGUUGUUUUCACUAGUGACGCGGAUAAUCUUUUCUUGCGUACCUAUGAACUCGACUCACGGUUGGUCAAUGCCUAGUUCAGGAACUCGAUGGAAAUUAUAAUUUUUGAAUUAGAUCUCAAAUGAAGCAAGAUUACCCGCUGAACUUAA